UUUAUUAGAUAAAAAACCAAUACAUGCUUUUAAAGUAUGGAAUUUGGUGAUUUACAAUAACUUAGCAAAUCGCAUAGUGAAAACAGGCGAUAAAUCAUUCAAGUUUCUGACCUAUCAGCUUUCGACGGUAUGGUAUUGGCUUACCGUGGCAGUGACGGUUAACGGGGGAUUAGGGUUCGAUUCCGGAGAGGGAGCCUGAGAAACGGCUACCACAUCUAAGGAAGGCAGCAGGCGCGCAAAUUACCCAAUUCUAACAGCAUAAGAGAGGUAGUGACAAGAAAUAACAAUACAAGGCAGUUAAAAUGCUUUGUAAUUGGAAUGAUAGAAAUUUAAACACUUUUUAAAGUAUCAAUUGGAGGGCAAGUCUGGUGCCAGCAGCCGCGGUAAUUCCAGCUCCAAUAGCGUAUAUUAAAAUUGUUGCAGUUAAAAAGCUCGUAGUUGAAUUUCUGCUAAAAAUAACCGGUCUGCUUUUAAUAAAGGUGGUAUCUUGGUGUGUUUUUAGCAAUAAUGUCCUUUGAAAUGUUUAUUACUUCAUUGUAAUAAAUUAUUUUCAGGAUUUUUACUUUGAGAAAAUUAGAGUGUUUCUAGCAGGCUAACGCUUUGAAUACUGCAGCAUG
Molecule: ribosomal RNA, 617 nt
Filed under: Hepatozoon felis
Lineage: Eukaryota; Apicomplexa; Hepatozoidae
Description: SSU rRNA
Rfam family: Eukaryotic small subunit ribosomal RNA
Source: RNAcentral